This 318-nucleotide long non-coding RNA is filed under the name Capsicum annuum. RNAcentral describes it as "long non-coding RNA (CANN_LNC014650)". Lineage: Eukaryota; Viridiplantae; Streptophyta; Magnoliopsida; Solanales; Solanaceae. The record is from RNAcentral.
UUGAGGAUUCACCAGGUUUGCGCAUUCAUGCUAACAAAUAGAGGUGAAGGAUAAAAUCAAUAAUAAAGAAAAGAAACUUACAUACAGACCAAAGAAAGAGAACAUAGCUAAGAGCAACAUUCAUAUAUAAAGAAAAAAAUAACUAUUUUCUUAAAUGUGACCUUAUAAAACUCUAAAAGUUUUAGGCCUACGAAUAAAAAGUCACGACUAAACAAAAAUAUCAGCAAACGAUCAUAUUCAAGAAAACUGCGAGACAUACUCUAUCCAUAUUAACCAAUAUCAAAGACAGGAGAAACCAAAUCCAUUCUCACACUAGUU